Molecule: ribosomal RNA, 460 nt
Filed under: uncultured bacterium
Lineage: Bacteria
Description: partial 16S ribosomal RNA
Rfam family: Bacterial small subunit ribosomal RNA
Source: RNAcentral
CCUACGGGAGGCAGCAGUGAGGAAUAUUGGGCAAUGGACGAGAGUCUGAACCAGCCAAGUAGCGUGAAGGAUGACUGCCCUAUGGGUUGUAAACUUCUUUUAUAUGGGAAUAAAACGUUCCACGUGUGGGAUUUUGUAUGUACCAUAUGAAUAAGGAUCGGCUAACUCCGUGCCAGCAGCCGCGGUAAUACGGAGGAUCCGAGCGUUAUCCGGAUUUAUUGGGUUUAAAGGGAGCGUAGGUGGAUUGUUAAGUCAGUUGUGAAAGUUUGCGGCUCAACCGUAAAAUUGCAGUUGAAACUGGCAGUCUUGAGUACAGUAGAGGUGGGCGGAAUUCGUGGUGUAGCGGUGAAAUGCUUAGAUAUCACGAAGAACUCCGAUUGCGAAGGCAGUUCACUGGACUGCAACUGACACUGAGGCUCGAAAGUGUGGGUAUCAAACAGGAUUAGAUACCCUUGUAGUC